UAUUACUUUGACUCUGAUCUGUCUGUCUGUGCUGUUAUUUCCAGUAGUUUUAAUCCUUAUCUACAAACGUAAGAACCGUCAUUAAUCUUUUGUUCAUCAAGAGAAAUACUUAAAUGCAUGCUUCUUUUCUUUUUUUUACCCACAAAUCCACAUCCGUGAACUUCCCUAUCUUGGACAGAUGACGGAAAUGGAACUGGCACAGCACCACAGCAUAACAGGGAGGACUGUACCUAUGAAAGGAUACAAGAGGAGCUCCGGAAGAUAGACUCAAAAAAUCUAGAAAACCCUUCUGAAUUGGCAGAAUACGCUACUGUUAACUUUCAAGGCUGCUUUGACACAGUUCAACCCAGCACCACCGCCUGUGAAUAUGCUACUGUGAAGUUUGGCAGAUAUCCAACCACCGGGUCCAUCAUUCAGCCACCCAGACCGACAGAGAAGCAUCUCAACUCAGCAAUCCUCAAACAACAGAAAAAAUUAAAAUAGAAGAAAAG
Molecule: long non-coding RNA, 491 nt
Organism: Pelmatolapia mariae (spotted tilapia)
Lineage: Eukaryota; Metazoa; Chordata; Actinopteri; Cichliformes; Cichlidae
Exons: 3
Source: RefSeq, a predicted model, not a curated record